CCUUAGCCCCGAUUGCAGCGGCAUCCUUUUUUUGCCUUGGCUUGAAAAAAGCGUUGGCGGAAAAAGAUAUAGCGGAAAGCGGGAUUAAGC
RNAcentral lists this small RNA (90 nucleotides) under Epilithonimonas hungarica. RNAcentral describes it as "Chryseobacterium hungaricum Flavo-1 RNA". It matches the Rfam family "Flavo-1 RNA". Lineage: Bacteria; Pseudomonadati; Bacteroidota; Flavobacteriia; Flavobacteriales; Weeksellaceae. The record is from RNAcentral.